RNAcentral lists this ribosomal RNA (246 nucleotides) under uncultured bacterium. RNAcentral's name for it is "partial 16S ribosomal RNA". It matches the Rfam family "Bacterial small subunit ribosomal RNA", at positions 528 to 772 of the family's 1533-position model. The record is from RNAcentral.
UAGGGGGCGAGCGUUGUCCGGAAUGACUGGGCGUAAAGGGUGUGUAGGCGGUUUGUUAAGUUAGAAGUGUAAUACCCAGAGCUUAACUUGGGUGCUGCUUCUAAUACUGACGGACUUGAGUGUAGGAGAGGAUGAUGGAAUUCCCAGUGUAGCGGUGGAAUGCAUAGAUAUUGGGAGGAACACCAGAGGCGAAAGCGAUCAUCUGGACUACAACUGACGCUGAGGCACGAAAGCGUGGGGAGCAAA